GACGAACGCUGGCGGCGUGCCUAAUACAUGCAAGUAGAACGCUGAAGAGAGGAGCUUACUCUUCUUGGAUGAGUUGCGAACGGGUGAGUAACGCGUAGGUAACCUGCCUUGUAGCGGGGGAUAACUAUUGGAAACGAUAGCUAAUACCGCAUAACAAUGGAUGACACAUGUCAUUUAUUUGAAAGGGGCAAUUGCUCCACUACAAGAUGGACCUGCGUUGUAUUAGCUAGUAGGUGAGGUAAUGGCUCACCUAGGCGACGAUACAUAGUCGACCUGGGAGGGUGGUCGGCCAAACUGGGAAUAAGACACGGCCCAGACUCCUACGGGAAGGAGCAGUAGGGAAUCUUCGGCAAUGGGGGCAACCCUGACCGAGCAACGCCGCGUGGGUGAAGAAGGUUUUCGGAUCGUAAAGCUCUGUUGUAAGUCAAGGACGGGUGUGAGAGUGGAAAGUUCACGCUGUGACGGUAGCUUACCAGAAAGGGACGGCUAACUACGUG
RNAcentral lists this ribosomal RNA (497 nucleotides) under uncultured bacterium. RNAcentral's name for it is "partial 16S ribosomal RNA". It matches the Rfam family "Bacterial small subunit ribosomal RNA", at positions 28 to 507 of the family's 1533-position model. The record is from RNAcentral.